Petromyzon marinus (sea lamprey) is the source of this 461-nucleotide non-coding RNA. The record is from RefSeq and is a predicted model, not a curated record. NCBI's taxonomy places the organism in Eukaryota, Metazoa, Chordata, Hyperoartia, Petromyzontiformes, Petromyzontidae.
UGUCUCUCUCUUGUCUCUCUCUCUAUCUCUCUCUCUUGUCUCUCUCUCUCUAUCUCUCUCUCCCCGCUGCAGGUUCUAAUUGCGGGAGAGGUCCCUCGAUGAUUUUGUACGCCUGUGUUGACGGCGGCGGGUUGGGGGGGUUCCACCGUGGACGGGGUCGCCGGCCUUCAGCGCGGAUUUUGGGUGUGGGCUUAGCCCGUUGACGACGCUCCAAAUUGUCUCAGCGGAACCGCCCAGGGCAUUUUUGCUACUGGGUUCUAAUUGCGGGAGAGGUCCCUCGAUGAUUUUGUACGCCUGUGUUGACGGCGGCGGGUUGGGGGGGUUCCACCGUGGACGGGGUCGCCGGCCUUCAGCGCGGAUUUUGGGUGUGGGCUUAGCCCGUUGACGACGCUCCAAAUUGUCUCAGCGGAACCGCCCAGGGCAUUUUUGCUACUGGGUAAUAAAUGAUUUUCAAAGUCAAA